GACGAACGCUGGCGGCGUGCCUAAUACAUGCAAGUUGAGCGCUGAAGGUUGGUACUUGUACCAACUGGGUGAGCAGCGAACGGGUGAGUAACGCGUGGGGAAUCUGCCUUUGAGCGGGGGACAAAAUUUGGAAACGAAUGCUAAUACCGCAUAAAAACUUUAAACACAAGUUUUAAGUUUGAAAGAUGCAAUUGCAUCACUCAAAGAUGAUCCCGCGUUGUAUUAGCUAGUUGGUGAGGUAAAGGCUCACCAAGGCGAUGAUACAUAGCCGACCUGAGAGGGUGAUCGGCCACAUUGGGACUGAGACACGGCCCAAACUCCUACGGGAGGCAGCAGUAGGGAAUCUUCGGCAAUGGACGAAAGUCUGACCGAGCAACGCCGCGUGAGUGAAGAAGGUUUUCGGAUCGUAAAACUCUGUUGGUAGAGAAGAACGUUGGUGAGAGUGGAAAGCUCAUCAAGUGACGGUAACUACCCAGAAAGGGACGGCUAACUACGUG
RNAcentral lists this ribosomal RNA (497 nucleotides) under uncultured bacterium. RNAcentral's name for it is "partial 16S ribosomal RNA". It matches the Rfam family "Bacterial small subunit ribosomal RNA", at positions 28 to 507 of the family's 1533-position model. The record is from RNAcentral.